This 580-nucleotide long non-coding RNA is filed under the name Capra hircus (goat). RNAcentral describes it as "lncRNA (ENSCHIG00000005331.1)". Lineage: Eukaryota; Metazoa; Chordata; Mammalia; Artiodactyla; Bovidae. The record is from RNAcentral.
GCUCUGGGAGCACAAACAAAGGAGUACCUCCUGGAUAAGGCUUUGGCAAGCAGCCUCCCAUCCCUAACUCCUGCCUGCUCCCAGCUGCAGCUCCCAUGAUAGGUAGCCCCCUCCUCAUCCUCCCCCUCCUCCAAGACCCAGCCUACAGCACAGCUUCUUCUUGGCCAUAGAAAGCCAGGCCAGCCUCUCCCCCAGCCCCCGACCCCUCCACUGUACCAGCACGCAGGCUGUUUGGAGAGGUGACAAAAAAUUAAAAUUAAAGCUAAAUUAAAAAGAAGAUUCCCAUUUCCUCUCCCCAUCGCACUUUCCACCUUAAUUUUAUCGCAUCUUCCUUCUCGUUUUAUUGACUUUUAGAAGCAUUGCCACAAGAUUUAGUGUGGAGCAGGAGGGAAGCGACGCCGCGUGCUUGUAAUUUUCUUCUGACCCUAAUGGCUCCGGUUUCCCCUCAGUAUUUAAGCGGAACAAGACAGAGGUGUUUAGAAAUAGAACCAUCCAGUACGCUUGUGAGUGCCUGCGGUUGGUGGGGUGUCAAAUAACUUCGAGAUGCUAAAAAAGAUCCUUGGAAUCUGGAGAGCUGGAC